CCCUAGUUUAUUUGCUUCAGCUGGCAGCUCUGGUUGUCGCCCGUCACCAAACAACAAGCACUCGCUGGUUCUAGUGAAAAAUAUGAUGGAUUAUAAAUAUGCUUGUUUUAUAAAUAUAAUAACUUACAUAAUCUCCGUUACUAAUGAUAGAAACCAUGAUUUACACAGCGGAAACAAAUCAUGAUGAAACAAGCAUGGAGGCAAGCCAAAACCAUAUGUAAAAGACUAACUGAAAACGCCCACAAUCUCCUACAAUCUUCUGCUAUUUACCUUAUCAAUUUUCCGGACUAUGAUUUCUGAGUGGGCAGAAAAAACAAUAGCUAGGGUACAUCACUCUCUUUUCUGUUUCUAAUAUAUAUCUCUUCGAUGGGAAGAAGACCACUUUGUUAGAAACUCUUUUUUCUGUUUCUAAUAUAUAUCUCUUCGAUGGGAAGAAGACCACUUUCUUAGAAACUCUUAAGCACAUAAUUUGCUUCAAGAAAAAAGAUAUAAGCGUGACUCUCUUUCCCUUAAAAUGCUCAUUUUAAAUAAAUUAGAUUAUCUAUUUUUAAUUAAAUAAAAUUUAAUUAAAAACUAAUCUAUCAUUUAUUUAAAACACAUAAUUCAUGUAUAGUCCAAACAAUUAAGGCACAGCAGGGACCGCAGGAAUAAAAUUAACAAGGCUACUAAUUAUAAUAAGAAUUCAUACAGGACCAGUAUAUUCUCAUUAUAAUUAAUCACAAAUUAUACCACUAAAAAUUCAUGAUUGAACUCCUUAUUAAUCUUACAAUUCCAUUACAUAAUAAUUUAUGUUUCCCACGUUAAGAUUACAGAUGCUAUUUACAUGAAACAAAUUACUGACAAUUUAUUUGAGUAACAAUAGAUCUUCAAGAUUGUCGCUUAACUUAAUUCAUGUGUCGGAUAAAAAUCCACCUGCAGGGUUUACACUAUGAAACCUUAUAAGCUUACUUAAAGUGCAUCAUCAAUCUCUAUACCGAGACGUGGAUUCAAUCAUUAUUUAAUACAUCGCAAACAUAAAGCGUCUUUGUCCAACUCAUCGAGUCAUAUCGCUCCAAUAAAUGAAACUCACUCUUUAAUGAAUCAAAACACAAGAUAUUUUAUAUUUGUUCAUAUUAAUUAAAUCAUGAUUAAAAACAUAAAUCUUAUUUCUAAUGUCCUAGAGAAUAUGUUUUAAUAGUCAGUACAAAACAUCCAUUCUCUACUUGGUCCAGUUAGUUAUAUAUAAAAUAUACUAACACAAUUAUUAUUAAAUUCUGCCGAAAGAUUAAUUUAUCUAAUGCAAAUCUCCAAUUAAAUACAAAGAAAUAAUUGUUUAUAGAAUGACAUCAUAAUAACAUACUAUUAAAUUCACGCUUAUGCAUGGUUAAUAGUAUAUCUCUAUCAACUAAUCCUUUAUGUACCUUGGUGUUCUUAGCCAUCCACUUAUUUUUGCUCAAUCCCCCAUUAUGGUACUACAUAUAUGUUAAUACAUAGAAAAGAUAGUGAAAACAAAACUCCAUACAAUUGGUCUUUUGAACCCGCUUCAAGUCGUGAUUGAUGCCUAAUCAAUCAAUCUUGGGAUAAAUAAACAGUCUCUACUGCUUACUUAUGUUUAUUUCCGCUUAACUCUUGUACAUAGGAAAUGAGACUCGAUCCUUUUACUGCGAAUUUAUAAGCUGUUUGAUUUAGUUUAUCAACCCGAAUGAUCUAUAAAAAAUGACG
RNAcentral lists this long non-coding RNA (1701 nucleotides) under Vitis vinifera (wine grape). RNAcentral's name for it is "long non-coding RNA (VVIN_LNC007385)". The record is from RNAcentral. Lineage: Eukaryota; Viridiplantae; Streptophyta; Magnoliopsida; Vitales; Vitaceae.